RNAcentral lists this ribosomal RNA (472 nucleotides) under uncultured Syntrophaceae bacterium. RNAcentral describes it as "bacterial SSU rRNA". It matches the Rfam family "Bacterial small subunit ribosomal RNA", at positions 912 to 1382 of the family's 1533-position model. The record is from RNAcentral. Lineage: Bacteria; Pseudomonadati; Thermodesulfobacteriota; Syntrophia; Syntrophales; Syntrophaceae.
AGACGGGGGCCCGCACAAGCGGUGGAGCAUGUGGUUUAAUUCGAUGCAACGCGAAGAACCUUACCUGGGCUUGACAUCCCAAGAAUCCCCUGGAAACAGGGGAGUGCCCUUCGGGGAGCUUGGAGACAGGUGCUGCAUGGCUGUCGUCAGCUCGUGUCGUGAGAUGUUGGGUUAAGUCCCGCAACGAGCGCAACCCUUGCCUUUAGUUGCCAUCAUUCAGUUGGGCACUCUAGAGGGACUGCCGGUGAUAAACCGGAGGAAGGUGGGGAUGACGUCAAAUCAUCAUGCCCCUUAUGACCUGGGCUACACACGUGCUACAAUGGUUGGUACAACGAGUUGCGAGUCGGUGACGGCGAGCUAAUCUCUUAAAGCCAAUCUCAGUUCGGAUUGUAGGCUGCAACUCGCCUACAUGAAGUCGGAAUCGCUAGUAAUCGCGGAUCAGCACGCCGCGGUGAAUACGUUCCCGGGCCUU